AUUGAACGCUGGCGGCAUGCCUUACACAUGCAAGUCGAACGGUAACGGGCCUUCGGGUGCCGACGAGUGGCGAACGGGUGAGUAAUGUAUCGGAACGUACCUUUCAGUGGGGGAUAACGUAGCGAAAGUUACGCUAAUACCGCAUAUUCUGUGAGCAGGAAAGCAGGGGAUCGCAAGACCUUGCGCUGAUUGAGCGGCCGAUAUCAGAUUAGCUAGUUGGUGAGGUAAAGGCUCACCAAGGCGACGAUCUGUAGCGGGUCUGAGAGGAUGAUCCGCCACACUGGAACUGAGACACGGUCCAGACUCCUACAGGAGGCAGCAGUGGGGAAUUUUGGACAAUGACGGCAAGUCUGAUCCAGCCAUUCCGCGUGCAGGACGAAGGCCUUCGGGUUGGUAAACU
RNAcentral lists this ribosomal RNA (400 nucleotides) under uncultured bacterium. RNAcentral describes it as "bacterial SSU rRNA". It matches the Rfam family "Bacterial small subunit ribosomal RNA", at positions 30 to 431 of the family's 1533-position model. The record is from RNAcentral.